GACGAACGCUGGCGGCGUGCUUAACACAUGCAAGUCGAACGGAAGGGCCCUGCUUUUGUGGGGUGCUCGAGUGGCGAACGGGUGAGUAACACGUGAGUAACCUGCCCUUGACUUUGGGAUAACUUCAGGAAACUGGGGCUAAUACCGGAUAGGAGCUCCUGCUGCAUGGUGGGGGUUGGAAAGUUUCGGCGGUUGGGGAUGGACUCGCGGCUUAUCAGCUUGUUGGUGGGGUAGUGGCUUGCCAAGGCUUUGACGGGUAGCCGGCCUGAGAGGGUGACCGGCCACAUUGGGACUGAGAUACGGCCCAGACUCCUACGGGAGGCAGCAGUGGGGAAUAUUGCACAAUGGGCGGAAGCCUGAUGCAGCAACGCCGCGUGCGGGAUGACGGCCUUCGGGUUGUAAACCGCUUUCGCCUGUGACGAAGCGUGAGUGACGGUAAUGGGUAAAGAAGCACCGGCUAACUACGUG
RNAcentral lists this ribosomal RNA (468 nucleotides) under uncultured bacterium. Its description in RNAcentral is "partial 16S ribosomal RNA". It matches the Rfam family "Bacterial small subunit ribosomal RNA", at positions 28 to 507 of the family's 1533-position model. The record is from RNAcentral.